Molecule: ribosomal RNA, 245 nt
Filed under: uncultured bacterium
Lineage: Bacteria
Description: partial small subunit ribosomal RNA
Rfam family: Bacterial small subunit ribosomal RNA
Source: RNAcentral
AGAAUCAACGCUGGCGGCGUGCCUAACACAUGCAAGUCGAACGAGAAAGUGGAGCAAUCCAUGAGUAAAGUGGCGCACGGGUGAGUAACACGUGACUACCUACCCUUGAGUGGGGGAUAACCUAGGGAAACCUGGGCUAAUACCGCAUAAUACCUACGGGUCAAAGGAGCAAUUCGCUUAAGGAGGGGGUCGCGGCCGAUUAGUUAGUUGGCGGGGUAAUGGCCCACCAAGACGAUGAUCGGUAU